UACAGAGGUCCCAAGCGUUGUUCGGAUUCACUGGGCGUAAAGGGUGCGUAGGCGGUCGGGUAAGUCUGGCGUGAAAUCUCCAAGCCUAACUUGGAAACUGCGUUGGAUACUAUCCGGCUCGAGGAAUGGAGGGGAGACUGGAAUACUUGGUGUAGCAGUGAAAUGCGUAGAUAUCAGGAGGAACACCUGCGGUGUAGACGGCUUUCUGGACCAUUGCUGACGCUGAGACACGAAAGCGUGGGUAGCAAACAGG
RNAcentral lists this ribosomal RNA (253 nucleotides) under uncultured bacterium. RNAcentral's name for it is "partial 16S ribosomal RNA". It matches the Rfam family "Bacterial small subunit ribosomal RNA", at positions 524 to 776 of the family's 1533-position model. The record is from RNAcentral.